UUGAACGCAAGUUGCGCCCGAAGCCUUCUGGCCGAGGGCACGCCUGCCUGGGUGUCAUGCAUCGUUUCCCCCUACUCCCUCAUGGGAAGAGGGGCGGACAUUGGCCUCCCGUGCGCUCCCGCUCGCGGUUGGCCCAAAAUCGAGUCUGCCUGCGGCUGUAGCCACGACGAGCGGUGGUUGAACAGACCCUCUGACACUGUCGUGCGCCCGAUGCUGCAGGCUUGAAGGACUGGUAGACCCUAUUUCUCACUGUGCGACCCCAGGUCAGGCGGGACUACCCGCUGAGUUUAAGCAUAUCAAUAAGCGGAGGAAAAGAAACUUACCAGGAUUCCCUUAGUAACGGCGAGCGAACCGGGAAUAGCCCAGCU
Molecule: ribosomal RNA, 368 nt
Filed under: Turnera angustifolia
Lineage: Eukaryota; Viridiplantae; Streptophyta; Magnoliopsida; Malpighiales; Passifloraceae
Description: eukaryotic LSU rRNA
Rfam family: Eukaryotic large subunit ribosomal RNA (bases 255-368)
Source: RNAcentral